RNAcentral lists this ribosomal RNA (347 nucleotides) under uncultured bacterium. RNAcentral describes it as "partial 16S ribosomal RNA". It matches the Rfam family "Bacterial small subunit ribosomal RNA", at positions 338 to 682 of the family's 1533-position model. The record is from RNAcentral.
ACUACGGGUGGCAGCAGUGAGGAAUAUUGGUCAAUGGGCGCGAGCCUGAACCAGCCAAGUAGCGUGAAGGAUGACUGCCCUACGGGUUGGAAACUUCUGUUAUAAAGGAAUAAAGUGAGGCACGUGAGCCUGUUUGGAUGGACAUUAUGAAUAAGGAAGGGCUAACGCCGUGCCAGCAGCCGCGGUAAUACGGAGGAGCCGGGCGUUAUCCGGAUUUAUUGGGUUUAAAGGGGGCGUAGAAGGGUUGUUAAGUCAGUUGAGGACGUUUGCGGCUCAACCGUAAAAGUGCAUUGGAUACUGGCAGCCUUGAGUUCAGUUGAGUUCGGCGGACUUCUUGGUGUAGCGGU